GUAAGGAAUAUUGGUCAAUGGACGAAAGUCUGAACCAGCCAUGCCGCGUGGAGGAUGAAGGUCCUCUGGAUUGUAAACUUCUUUUAUAUGGGACGAAAAUGGGGCUUUCUAGCUCAACUGACGGUACCAUAUGAAUAAGCACCGGCUAACUCCGUGCCAGCAGCCGCGGUAAUACGGAGGGUGCAAGCGUUAUCCGGAUUCACUGGGUUUAAAGGGUGCGUAGGUGGAUUGGUAAGUCAGAGGUGAACUCUCCGGGCUCAACUCGGAAACUGCCUUUGAUACAAUCAAGCUUGAAUAUUGUGGAGGUCAGCGGAAUAUGUCAUGUAGCGGUGAAAUGCUUAGAUAUGACAUAGAACACCACUUGCGAAGGCAGCUGGCUACACAUAUAUUGACACUGAGGCACGAAAGCGUGGGGAUCAAACAGGAUUAGAUACCCGGGUAGUCC
RNAcentral lists this ribosomal RNA (445 nucleotides) under uncultured bacterium. RNAcentral's name for it is "bacterial SSU rRNA". It matches the Rfam family "Bacterial small subunit ribosomal RNA", at positions 354 to 796 of the family's 1533-position model. The record is from RNAcentral.